GGAAGACUAUAGCUCAGUGGUGGAACAUCUGCUUUGCAUGCAGAAGGCGCCAGGUUCAAUCUUCCCUAGCACCUCCA
Non-coding RNA from Podarcis lilfordi (Lilford's wall lizard), 77 nucleotides. NCBI's taxonomy places the organism in Eukaryota, Metazoa, Chordata, Lepidosauria, Squamata, Lacertidae. The record is from the annotation of a GenBank genome assembly.